This 433-nucleotide ribosomal RNA is filed under the name uncultured bacterium. RNAcentral describes it as "partial 16S ribosomal RNA". It matches the Rfam family "Bacterial small subunit ribosomal RNA", at positions 29 to 507 of the family's 1533-position model. The record is from RNAcentral.
AGCGAACGCUGGCGGCAGGCCUAACACAUGCAAGUCGAACGAACUCUUCGGAGUUAGUGGCGGACGGGUGAGUAACACGUGGGAACGUGCCUUUUGGUUCGGAAUAACUCAGGGAAACUUGUGCUAAUACCGAAUGUGCCCUUCGGGGGAAAGAUUUAUCGCCAUUAGAGCGGCCCGCGUCUGAUUAGCUAGUUGGUGAGGUAACGGCUCACCAAGGCGACGAUCAGUAGCUGGUCUGAGAGGAUGACCAGCCACACUGGGACUGAGACACGGCCCAGACUCCUACGGGAGGCAGCAGUGGGGAAUCUUGCGCAAUGGGCGAAAGCCUGACGCAGCCAUGCCGCGUGAAUGAUGAAGGUGUUAGGAUUGUAAAAUUCUUUCACCGGGGACGAUAAUGACGGUACCCGGAGAAGAAGCCCCGGCUAACUUCGUG